This 495-nucleotide ribosomal RNA is filed under the name uncultured bacterium. Its description in RNAcentral is "bacterial SSU rRNA". It matches the Rfam family "Bacterial small subunit ribosomal RNA", at positions 29 to 517 of the family's 1533-position model. The record is from RNAcentral.
AAUGAACGCUGGCGGCGCGCCUAAUACAUGCAAGUCGAGCGAGAAGACGUAGCAAUACGUUUGUAAAGCGGCGAACGGGUGAGGAAUACAUGGGUAACCUACCCUCGAGUGGGGAAUAACUAGCCGAAAGGUUAGCUAAUACCGCGUACGCUUCUUGGACUUCGGUUCAGGGAGGAAAGCGAUGCCGAGGGUAUCGCGCUCUUGGAUGGGCUCAUGUCCUAUCAGCUUGUUGGGAGGUAACGGCUCACCAAGGCUUCGACGGGUAGCUGGUCUGAGAGGACGAUCAGCCACACUGGCACUGCGACACGGGCCAGACUCCUACGGGAGGCAGCAGUAAGGAUAUUGCGCAAUGGGCGAAAGCCUGACGCAGCGACGCCGCGUGGGGGAUGAAGGUCUUCGGAUUGUAAACCCCUUUCGGGAGGGAAGAUGGAAUGGGGUAACCCAUUCGGACGGUACCUCCAGAAGCAGCCACGGCUAACUUCGUGCCAGCAGCCG